CCUCACCGUUGCUUGAGUAGGCGUACGUGUCCGCUUCUGAUUCUCCACCGUUUGCUUCUCCAAUAAAAGUCUUACACAGUUCCACCGUAUGUGUCCCUUUUUCGAAGUACCCACCGGGUUUCUUUAAAUCGAUCCAUUGAUGCAUCCACCGCCUUCAUUUGUUACCGCUUCCACUGCUUCAAAUCACCGACUGUUUUCUUCUCCUUCUACCAUGCCCCUCCUUCUAUCUACUCCUAAGGUUCGUUUGGUCUUCGAUCGACAAGCUCUCAAGCUUCGGGACCCGGUCUCAUGGCGGAUCGACCGACCCUUUACCUUCGUUUGUUUGAAGGUUUUCUGACUGGAAGCGCUGAAGAAUUUUGUUGGAUUUCAGUUCAGUUACGGUCUGGGUGUCAUCUGAUACAUGACAACACUGCUAUUUGUUUUGGCAACAAUGUGGAAGCUUCAUAACCAUUUGAAAAAUGUCCAAUUUGGGUUAGCUUUGUGAUUUCUUACAUUCAAAAUCAUCAAGGAAAUCAUAAAAAAAGGCUUUAAGUCUUCAUAAUAAAGGUUCAGACAUUGAUGAUGACGAAACAGCUUUUUUCGGGCUUUUCACUUUUCCUAAGAUAUUCGUUGUAGUUCCAAGCAAAAAAAUUUAUCUCGGACCUUGAAACAGGUGGUAAUGACAUCUUUUUUAAGAUAUUCUUUAACUAUUUAUGAUUUUAUCAUUAAGGAAGAAGGAAUACUACUAUUAUUUUGGAACAUUGCGGUAUGUAUUUUGUCUAUGAUUUUCAUCAAUGGUAGUUUUGUCUUUUAAAAUAUCUACUAGGUUGAGUGACUUCCUUUUUCUUUUACUUUUGUCUAUGCCUUUCAUCAAGGGUAGUUUUUUCAUUUAAAACAUCCAUUCUUCUUUUGUUUUCUUCAAGGUAAGGUUAUCGAUUUCUAUUAUUUGAGUCAACUGUCUUAUUUUAUUUCCUUCUACAUAUUUGGUCUGUACGUGGUCAAGAUGAUAAGAUUCGAGUUCUUCUUAAGAAGGCAGAUCGAGUUAAUACUCUACAAGUAAGACCUACUUUCUUUUUAUUCUUAUACUGAAUAAAUUGUGUACAUAAGACUAAAUGACUAUUUUGCCCUUAAGAUUUAAUCAUGACAUGUGGUUCUUGGGAUUUGGCAUAAAUAAGCAACAACUUAUCAUGUGGAAACUUUUUUUUGGGGGCUAAUUUCCUAAUUAUUAACCAUGUACAAAUGUUUGUAUGCAUUUUAUGUUGACACUUCAGAUUGUUACUUCUGGAAGAGUUGACUUUCACUUUUUCACUAUGUUAUCCAUUUUAGAAUAAAGAUCAAUAAAGAUUUUGUUCCAAGGGUAAUUUAGUAUUUUGUGAUCAUUUAGUGUUAGCUGCAAUUUCUCAAUGUAGUUGAAGGCUUUUUAUUUUAAUCAUUCAGGACCCGAUGCAAUAAUAGUAAUGCAUUAAUAAAUAUAUCUUAAGAAUGGAAAUAUUAUGGAACUUAAAACCUAUAGCAGCUACAUUUUCCCAUUAUAAGUUCGGUUCUAUAAUGGAUGGAUAUAAUUGUUUUAAUGAAUCAUUCAUUUAUAUAGGUCCUUAAUGCUUUGUUUAGAACCUAUGAAUGUGCUCAUCAUACCAUUUAGGAGCACAUCAUCGUUUAACUUUCUUGACUAACUUAAUUUCCCUUACCAUGCCCCGUUAUAGAAUUGUAGACACCCAGGUUAACCAAAAAGCUUCAAAUGUGAAAACAGGCUGCAACAUUAGUGGAUUACAGGAAGAUGUAUCUUAUGUAAGCAAGGUACACAUACAUAGAGUAGUAGAGUGAUGAAAUAUGAGAAAGUAACUAACAGGUUUGCUUAUGUAAUUAACUGUAACACACUUUAGUACAUCGCCUGAAAGAACACCUACAAAAUCACUUUACUUUGAUCAUUCCACUACCUUAUCACCUUAAAUUCUCUCAACUGUCGAAUUUAAUGUCCACGAGAUAAAAGGGAAUCACUUUCAUAUAGUUUUCUAUCUUUUUUGAUAAAAUAGGACUCUUUUUACUCAUACAUGUUAUGUUACAGAAAAAUUUCACAGAACAUGCAAUUGUAACUUUCUUUCUUUCUUUACUUAUUCUAUUGAUCUUUCCGUCUCCAAUUAUUGUGUUGAAGUUUCAUUUAUUUUUUUAUUACGCGGGUAACCCUACCUGAAGGAAAACUGAAUAUUUUCUUGCAUAAGUUUUGGAUUUGAAGAUUGUAUAAUAAAUAAAACCACAAAUUAACUACAAUAAGAACUACUAGGUGCUACCAAAAAACUGUUAAAAAAGAGUGCAGGGUGUCGAUAUUUAAAAACCCCAUUUUUAUUUGAUCCGAUUUGGCGGACGGGUUAUGGGUAAACCAAUUGAGUUCAAACACCCCCUUACAUCCUUUAUUUUUCCAUCAUUUUUUGUAGUAAAGUUAUGACCCCAUAAUCUGUCAUGGUAAGUUUCAGAUGUUUCGUAGUUUGGAAAAACUAAUGUGUCGCACCGCAGAUUUAAACAUGGAACAAAAAGAUUAUGAAGAUGAAGGACUUCCAUCAGGAUGGGAUAACACAUAUCAGCUAAAAGAAAAACUGUUUCAGCAAUUUCAACAGGUGGUGGAUUUUGGCAUAUAGUAAACAAAAUAAAGCAAUGUACUUUCAUUUUAAUGUUUCGUUUUCUGUGAUUUUGAUCAUCAAAAUACCAAUUUACAUUCAUUUUUUUACUGUGUUUGCAAAUGGGCGAAUUGCAGAGAAUAGCAAUAUAUUUUAUUGUGGUUACCAAUUAA
This is a non-coding RNA of Lactuca sativa (garden lettuce), 2764 nucleotides long. The record is from RefSeq and is a predicted model, not a curated record. Lineage: Eukaryota; Viridiplantae; Streptophyta; Magnoliopsida; Asterales; Asteraceae.